GAUAAAAUGGCUGAGGUUAAAAGCGGCAGAUUGUAAGUCUGUAGACGAAAGAGUUUUCUUUUAUCA
Molecule: transfer RNA, 66 nt
Filed under: Pseudohelice subquadrata
Lineage: Eukaryota; Metazoa; Arthropoda; Malacostraca; Decapoda; Varunidae
Description: tRNA-Tyr
Rfam family: tRNA
About the family: Transfer RNA (tRNA) molecules are approximately 80 nucleotides in length. Their secondary structure includes four short double-helical elements and three loops (D, anti-codon, and T loops).
Source: RNAcentral